UUGCAGCUUUAUUACCACAGAUGUGGUAAUCACUAAGAGUUGUGACCCAAGAGAAUUCUCAUUAUCAUGGCACAACUGUCAGGGAGAUCCCUCAAGGAGCUUACCAAGGUACGAAGCUAAAAGUGUAAUUAUAAAGAAAGGACGCUGGCCAAUGGAAUGCUACUUUGUGCUUUCUGGAAAAUUAGCAGCUGUAUCAAGUUUAACAGCUGAAAAUUCCAACUCAGAAAUUAUAAGUGAAUUUGAAGAAGGAGACUUUGUAGGGGAAACUUGUCUGUUAACUAACACCCGCCGACCUACUACAAUUGUAUGCAAAUCAGAUGCAGAACUUCUGGUGAUAAGUAAGAAGGACUUCGACUACAUUCUCUCAGAUAUAGUACAAGAACAAUUUCAAGGAAUGUGCAGCUUCAUAAGGGAUCUGCCAAUGUUCUCUCCCUGGUCAAAAGAGAAGAUUGAUUAUCUUGUUCACUGUUCCUCACUCAGACGCUAUAGGUUGUCAGUUGUAAAGUUCUGCAGUCUUAUAAACUGUAGAACAUAA
Molecule: long non-coding RNA, 535 nt
Filed under: Phascolarctos cinereus (koala)
Lineage: Eukaryota; Metazoa; Chordata; Mammalia; Diprotodontia; Phascolarctidae
Description: lncRNA (ENSPCIG00000000349.2)
Source: RNAcentral